Molecule: transfer RNA, 69 nt
Filed under: Marmota marmota marmota (Alpine marmot)
Lineage: Eukaryota; Metazoa; Chordata; Mammalia; Rodentia; Sciuridae
Also listed under: 2 other names
Rfam family: tRNA
About the family: Transfer RNA (tRNA) molecules are approximately 80 nucleotides in length.
Source: Rfam by way of RNAcentral
GGAGUUGUGGCUCAGUGGUAGAGCGCUUGCCUAGCAUGUAUGAGGCACUGGGUUUGAUUCUCAGCACCA